UCGGAUAUUCGAGUAAGACAACUCGUAUCCUAACAGUCGGGAAAGGGAAUAGAAGACUCUAGACCGCUUUCUGUUUCAUCUGAGUAAUUAUGAAAAGGAUUGGAUAAUAAUUAAGGUGUUUUGAACGGAUGACGAUUACUCGGAUGGUCGAGUAAGACAACUCGUAUCCUAAUAGUCGGGAAGAGGAAUAGAAGACUCUAAACCACUCUCUG
RNAcentral lists this long non-coding RNA (212 nucleotides) under Lathyrus oleraceus (garden pea). RNAcentral's name for it is "Pisum sativum (pea) long non-coding RNA (PSAT_LNC005313)". Lineage: Eukaryota; Viridiplantae; Streptophyta; Magnoliopsida; Fabales; Fabaceae. The record is from RNAcentral.